UGGGAACGUACCCUUCGGUUCGGGAUAACUCAGGGAAACUUGAGCUAAUACCGGAUACGUCCGAGAGGAGAAAGGUUUACUGCCGAAGGAUCGGCCCGCGUCUGAUUAGCUAGUUGGUGAGGUAACGGCUCACCAAGGCGACGAUCAGUAGCUGGUCUGAGAGGAUGAUCAGCCACAUUGGGACUGAGACACGGCCCAAACUCCUACGGGAGGCAG
This 216-nucleotide ribosomal RNA is filed under the name uncultured bacterium. Its description in RNAcentral is "partial 16S ribosomal RNA". It matches the Rfam family "Bacterial small subunit ribosomal RNA", at positions 118 to 351 of the family's 1533-position model. The record is from RNAcentral.